UACGUAGGGAGCAAGCGUUGUCCGGAUUUAUUGGGCGUAAAGCGCUCGUAGGCGGCUUGGUAAGUCGGGUGUGAAACCUCCAGGCUCAACCUGGAGUCGCCAUCCGAUACUGCCAUGGCUUGAGUUCGGUAGGGGACCACGGAAUUCCUGGUGUAGCGGUGAAAUGCACAGAUAUCAGGAGGAACACCGGUGGCGAAGGUGGUGGUCUGGGCCGAUACUGACGCUGAGGAGCGAAAGCGUGGGGAGCAAACAGG
Molecule: unclassified non-coding RNA, 254 nt
Filed under: uncultured Acidimicrobiia bacterium
Lineage: Bacteria; Bacillati; Actinomycetota; Acidimicrobiia
Description: contains 16S-23S intergenic spacer region
Rfam family: Bacterial small subunit ribosomal RNA
Source: RNAcentral